This 2732-nucleotide long non-coding RNA is filed under the name Androctonus crassicauda. The record is from RNAcentral. Lineage: Eukaryota; Metazoa; Arthropoda; Arachnida; Scorpiones; Buthidae.
UGUGCUUGCUUUUGUAAUUUCAUUGUUUUUCUUGUUAAACUAUUUCUUUUUUGCAUUGCAUACAAUUUUAUAAAAUUUUUUUUAUGUUGUAUCCAUGCUUAACAGCAAUCUUCUUUAAAAAGUCUUAACUCUUUCUGUAGAGCAAUGAAGUGCAUAGAGAUGGUGAAUGCUCAUUCUAUAAGUAUCUGGAAACUUGCCAUUUUGUAUCUGCUGCAAUUAUAUGAAAUGCUAUGGAUAUACAUCAGUAUGUAUGUUGAUAUCCUAUAAACUUCUAUACAGUAGUUCUCACUAUUUUUGUUUAUGAUAGUGUCCAAGAAGUUUACUAUUUUCUUGCUGACUUUUUCUAUUUCUAGGGUUAAAUCAUUAUUGUUAGUAUUAAUAUCUUCAACUAUAUUUAUGCAUAUUUUUCAUCAUCUAUGAUGAAAAUAUCAUUUAUAUGGAAUUUGUAUUUUCUUUAUUAGCUGAUAACGUUUUCUUCAGUUGUUCUGAUUAAUAAUAUUGCUAUGGGACCAGCUUGCAUGGAUAGUAUAGGGCACCCUCUUUUCUGAGUGUAAUAAGUGUCACUUAAUUUGAAUUAGGAAUUUUUACUUGCAAUUUGCACUGAAUUAGAUAGAGUUUUAAACUUGAAUGGAAUGUUUAUCAAAUAGUAAUAGUAGUCUAGUGAUAAGUUACUGGGUUUCUAUUACAGAGGGUUUAGGUAAUAUACUCAGGUAUAGUGACUUGAAGUCCAUGAUAACUAUUACAUAUUCAUCAAAAAGGGAAAUUUCUAGCUUUAUCAUCAAUUCUUUGCUACUAUUAAUACUAUAUUUGUGUCUUCUCAGUUUUUCUUGAUGCUUGGGCUUUGUGUUUUUUAGCUUGAAUGUGGGUGCAGAAAAUUUUUCUACUAUUGAUCUGAAUUCUAAUUCUGGUUUGUGAAAGCCUUAAAUCAGAUUUCAGAAAUGACAAAAGAUUUAGUAGAGAGAGAGAUCCAGUCUCAGCAUCCAUCUGGCACAGUUAGUCUCACCAGUGAUGCUAGACUAAUAGAAAAGCUUAAGCCCAAGAUUUGAGAUUAAGCCUUAUGAUUUAAAAGUUCAGAAACAGCUCUAUUCCCUCCACAUGAUUCAUCAACUAACCAAUGAACAUGAGAUGGAAAGCUCUUUGUUUAUGUGCUUGCAGACAUUGUCAUUUUGCAGAUCAUAAAGGGCAUUUAGCCCAAGCUGAAUUGUUGUUUAUAGUAUGUGCUGCAGGCAAGCCUGUUUUGAGAAUGUCAAGGAACAUCUUAUAGAAGAUUACCAAAGAGAACUGAAAGGCUACUGAAAACAACAUGGAUACAGUAAGCAAGUUUGUAUGGAACAUUAUGUUUCUUGGAGUACCCACUGGCUACAGGAGACCAGAAAUGGGAAUGAGAGCAUGAACAGAAGCAUGAUUGCUACCUUAAGUGUUAGGCAGAGGGUGCAAAUUUGUACUCUGUGAGAUAUUUGCUGAACAAAAGAGUGAUCAGUGGUUGAAGCAGAUUCUACAUCUUAGAAAAAGAUGGGAAAACUAGUAUUGAGACUGCUAUAGCAAGAAUUAAUGAGCCAAGCAAAAACAAAAUGUCUGCCUGAUUUGGGUAUGAAACAUUCAGAUCCUAUAAAGAUAUGAUCGUCAUUCCAAUCUCCUUGAAUAAAGAAAGGAAGUUGAAGAGAACCAAGGAUGUUUGACAGCUCUUGUUCAGAUACAUUACUUUGAAGGAUAUAGUUAUUAUAAAGAGCAAGAAUCAUGUUGGAAUCCAGAAACUUAGCAUAUAGAAUUUUCAUUCAAAGUUCACUAAACAGAUAAGCAAUAAUACCACUGAUUAGCACCUUGAAACAUCUGUGAGAAGAACAUCGUCCCUAUUAGUCAAACAUUAUGAAAAACUGUGAAAUCUGGGAUUGAGAAUUGAAUCCCAGAGGAGAACCAAAUUUCCUGGAUAAAGAUAAUGUUGGUUUGGAAUAGCCAUUCCAAAUUAAGCAAUGCAUUCCAUUGGAGAGUAAAACUAUGAUACUAUGAUAUGAUAUCAAUAGUAUAUAUGUAGGCAAUUAUUCAUGUUUAGAUUUAGUGAUUAAUCUGAGGUUAAUUUUAAUCCAUGAUCAGUCACAAAAAAUGAAGAUGCUGAGCAACCUGAGGAAGAAACCAACCGAGGAACUAUCAAUAAUUCUGAAUAAUUUGUGCCCAUCCAGUUAUCACCAGAAUCUGUCCUAUCUCCAAACUUGAGAAUUACCAAUAAUAUUUGCAACUAUAUGACUUGUUUUGAAUAUUUGUGCUCAAUAAGAGAGAGUUUUUGAAAUCUUUUGAUUUUGUGGAGAGGAUGGGGUAGAUAAUAUAAUAUGGGACUCUCAAUCAGACAGAAUUGACUGACAGGAUCUGUUGUUCUCUAUCACAGCAUAAAAGUGUUUCAUUUUUUCAGUGAAUGCAGAGACUAAUGCUUUUAUAGCAUGAAGAUAAUUAUCCCAACCUAUAAUGGACUUCUCUGGAAUUUGUGGAAUGAUUGGACUUGCCACAGAAUGCUGUGAUGGUCUGGGAGAAGAUUGAAGUGAUUGAUUAUGAAAAGAUGGUGCCAAAGAAGGUAACACUGUAUGAUUGCUACAAUCAAACCAUAGUAGUAUGGCUGUACUUCUAGUUUAUAAGCCAUAAUGAAUAUGGAACUGUAUUCAAUACAAGGAAUUCAAAUUAAGCAGGAACAAAUAUGAAAUUUAAUAUUAUUAUUAUAUAAAACUAAUAACAAUAUGUGAUAA